Gossypium raimondii (Peruvian cotton) is the source of this 144-nucleotide non-coding RNA. Lineage: Eukaryota; Viridiplantae; Streptophyta; Magnoliopsida; Malvales; Malvaceae. The record is from Rfam.
UGUUAAAAAUUUCAUCAAAUUCUGUUAUUAAAAACUAGUAUGGAUGACAAAAUAACCAAAAGUGACACGUGGUGUGCCACAUGUACUUUAUGAUAACGUAUAAGAAUCAAUUUUUAACAAAAGAACCAAUUUACUCUUUCAUCU